RNAcentral lists this ribosomal RNA (505 nucleotides) under uncultured bacterium. RNAcentral's name for it is "partial 16S ribosomal RNA". It matches the Rfam family "Bacterial small subunit ribosomal RNA", at positions 28 to 507 of the family's 1533-position model. The record is from RNAcentral.
GACGAACGCUGGCGGCGUGCCCAAUACAUGCAAGUAGAACGCACAGUUUAUACCGUAGCUUGCUACACCAUAGACUGUGAGUUGCGAACGGGUGAGUAACGCGUAGGUAACCUGCCUGGUAGCGGGGGAUAACUAUUGGUAACGAUAGCUAAUACCGCAUAAUAUUAAUUAUUCCAUGAUAAUUAAUUGAAAGGUGCAAUUGCACCACUACUAGAUGGACCUGCGUUGUAUUAGCUAGUAGGUGAGGUAACGGCCCACCUAGGCGGCGAUACAUAGCCGAGCUGGGAAGGUGGUGCGCCAAAAUGGGAAUGAGAAACGGCCCAGACUCCUACGGGGGGCAGCAGUAGGGAAUCUUCGGCAAUGGACGAAAGUCUGGCCGAGCCACGCCGGGUGAGGGAAGAAGGUUUUCGGAUCGUAAAGCUCUGUUGUAAGAGAAGAACGGGUGGGAGGGUGGAAAGUUCACACUGUGACGGUAUCUUACCAGAAAGGGACGGCUAACUACGUG